UACGAAGGGGGCUAGCGUUGCUCGGAAUUACUGGGCGUAAAGGGCGCGUAGGCGGCACUGUUAGUCAGGCGUGAAAGUCCUGGGCUCAACCUGGGAACUGCGCUUGAUACGGCAGAGCUAGAGGAUGGAAGAGGGUCGCGGAAUUCCCAGUGUAGAGGUGAAAUUCGUAGAUAUUGGGAAGAACACCGGUGGCGAAGGCGGCGACCUGGUCCAUUACUGACGCUGAGGAGCGAAAGCGUGGGGAGCAAACAGG
This 253-nucleotide ribosomal RNA is filed under the name uncultured bacterium. Its description in RNAcentral is "partial 16S ribosomal RNA". It matches the Rfam family "Bacterial small subunit ribosomal RNA", at positions 524 to 776 of the family's 1533-position model. The record is from RNAcentral.